RNAcentral lists this long non-coding RNA (318 nucleotides) under Rhinopithecus bieti (black snub-nosed monkey). RNAcentral describes it as "lncRNA (ENSRBIG00000046544.1)". Lineage: Eukaryota; Metazoa; Chordata; Mammalia; Primates; Cercopithecidae. The record is from RNAcentral.
UGUGUGGGAAGUUUGAUCACUAUCAUUUUGUUGGCGUGCACUCUAUUUCAUAAGUUGAUCCUUAUUUAUCAUGGAAAUGGACCUUCUCACCUACAUUACUGGUGAUUGAGUCAUAAAAAGUUUAUAGAGGAAGGAGGCAAAGCAAGAUGGCGGAAUAGAACUCUCCAACGUUUGUCCCCAUUCAGCAACACCAAAUUGAACCAACUAUCCAUGCAAAAAAAGCAUCCUUAUCAGAAAUAAAAAUCAGGUGAGUAGUGACAGCACCUAGUUCUAACAUAAUAUCUAGGAAAGAGGUGUUGAAGACUCUUGCAUUACCUA